Molecule: ribosomal RNA, 491 nt
Filed under: uncultured bacterium
Lineage: Bacteria
Description: partial 16S ribosomal RNA
Rfam family: Bacterial small subunit ribosomal RNA
Source: RNAcentral
AGUGAACGCUGGCGGUAGGCCUAACACAUGCCAGUCAAACGGCAGCACAGUAAGAGCUUGCUCUUACGGGUGGCGAGUGGCGGACGGGUGAGGAAUACAUCGGAAUCUACUUUUUCGUGGGGGAUAACGUAGGGAAACUUACGCUAAUACCGCAUACGACCUACGGGUGAAAGCAGGGGAUCUUCGGACCUUGCGCGAUUGAAUGAGCCGAUGUCGGAUUAGCUAGUUGGCGGGGUAAAGGCCCACCAAGGCGACGAUCCGUAGCUGGUCUGAGAGGAUGAUCAGCCACACUGGAACUGAGACACGGUCCAGACUCCUACGGGAGGCAGCAGUGGGGAAUAUUGGACAAUGGGCGCAAGCCUGAUCCAGCCAUACCGCGUGGGUGAAGAAGGCCUUCGGGUUGUAAAGCCCUUUUGUUGGGAAAGAAAAGCAGCAGGUUAAUACCCCGCUGUUCUGACGGUACCCAAAGAAUAAGCACCGGCUAACUUCGU